ACAGGGUGUGGUAGUGUGUGCCUGUAGUCCCAGCUACUCAGGAGGCUGAGCGGGGAGGAUCGCUUGAGCCCAGGAGUUCUGGGCUGUAGUGCGCUUUGUCGAUCGGGUAUCCACACUGAGUUCGGCAUCAAUAUGGUGACCUCCAAGGAACAGGGGACCCCCAAGUUGUCUAAGGAGCGGAGAAGCAGCCCAGUUUGGAAACAGAAUGGGCCAAAACUCCCGUGCUGAUCAGUAGUGGGAUUGUGCCUGUGAAUAACCAUUUCACUCCAGCCUGGGCACCAUAGCAAGACUGCAUCUCUA
Non-coding RNA from Nomascus leucogenys (northern white-cheeked gibbon), 300 nucleotides. It matches the Rfam family "Metazoan signal recognition particle RNA". Rfam says of the family: The signal recognition particle (SRP) is a universally conserved ribonucleoprotein. It is involved in the co-translational targeting of proteins to membranes. NCBI's taxonomy places the organism in Eukaryota, Metazoa, Chordata, Mammalia, Primates, Hylobatidae. The record is from Rfam.